CGGUCUUCAAUCCAUCAAAGGUUUACAGGUUGUUUGAUCAACGUUUCGACCCGUUUGGGUCUUCCUCAGGAUCAACUUAUAACCAUAAAAUCAAGAUAUAUAUAGAAAAAGAUAGACAGUACUCUCCAAUUGUGAUGUGAUUCCCUCAUCCAUUCAGUCCAAACCCAGGAAGUGAAAGCCAGAAGUCACGUGACAUACAGG
This is a non-coding RNA of Pelobates cultripes (western spadefoot toad), 201 nucleotides long. Lineage: Eukaryota; Metazoa; Chordata; Amphibia; Anura; Pelobatidae. The record is from the annotation of a GenBank genome assembly.